Molecule: unclassified non-coding RNA, 337 nt
Filed under: uncultured fungus
Lineage: Eukaryota; Fungi
Description: partial contains small subunit ribosomal RNA, internal transcribed spacer 1, and 5.8S ribosomal RNA
Rfam family: Eukaryotic small subunit ribosomal RNA (bases 1-73)
Source: RNAcentral
GCAAACUUGGUCAUUUAGAGGAAGUAAAAGUCGUAACAAGGUUUCCGUAGGUGAACCUGCGGAAGGAUCAUCACUGAUUCGGGGGGUGUCGGCGCGGGCAACUGCGCUGAGCCACACCACCCCAACCAAUCUUGUGUGAACCGUAACGCGCAAGCACUAUGCGUGGUGGAGAUUGAUUGGUUGGCGGUACGGGGGGAAAUCAUCCCCACUACCGCCGGCCACCAUCAUGCGAGCAUAUUAUUAUCUUUUUACAAUCUUGUCUAACACAUUACACACGCUAAAUUACACAACUUUUAACAAUGGAUCUCUUGGCUCUCGCAUCGAUGAAGAACGCAGC